GCAUGAUGCAGUGUGAAAAACUCCGGUGGUAUAAGAUGGACCCGCGUUGGAUUAGCUAGUUGGUGAGGUAACGGCCCACCAAGGCGACGAUCCAUAGCCGACCUGAGAGGGUGACCGGCCACAUUGGGACUGAGACACGGCCCAAACUCCUACGGGAGGCAGCAGUGGGGAAUAUUGCACAAUGGGCGAAAGCCUGAUGCAGCGACGCCGCGUGAGCGAAGAAGUAUUUCGGUAUGUAAAGCUCUAUCAGCAGGGAAGAUAAUGACGGUACCUGACUAAGAAGCACCGGCUAAAUACGUGCCAGCAGCCGCGGUAAUACGUAUGGUGCAAGCGUUAUCCGGAUUUACUGGGUGUAAAGGGAGCGCAGGCGGUGCGGCAAGUCUGAUGUGAAAGCCCGGGGCUCAACCCCGGUACUGCAUUGGAAACUGUCGUACUAGAGUGUCGGAGGGGUAAGCGGAAUUCCUAGUGUAGCGGUGAAAUGCGUAGAUAUUAGGAGGAACACCAGUGGCGAAGGCGGCUUACUGGACGAUAACUGACGCUGAGGCUCGAAAGCGUGGGGAGCAAACAGGAUUAGAUACCCUGGUAGCCCACGCCGUAAACGAUGAAUACUAGGUGUUGGGAAGCAUUGCUUCUCGGUGCCG
This 641-nucleotide ribosomal RNA is filed under the name uncultured bacterium. RNAcentral's name for it is "bacterial SSU rRNA". It matches the Rfam family "Bacterial small subunit ribosomal RNA", at positions 188 to 848 of the family's 1533-position model. The record is from RNAcentral.